UUCCAGUGGAACAACUGGGGACUGCCAAGAAGGGGGUCUGUUUAUAAAAGAGCAUCAACUCGCUUAGGCCAUGACGUUCACCCAUCCCUUCCUCUGGAGCAACCGCUGCCCUGUGAAUAAGAGCCGAUGGAGGAGAUCUCAGCUUCGGUGGUGAUGACAGAACAUGAUUUCGGUUCUGCUCCUAAACCAGGUGCACUGGAUGCUGCUGCUGUAAACAUACAGCAAUUGGAAGAAACAGUCAAGGCGCUGAUGAGAGCUGUCACAGCUGAAAGUGCAUUUUCACAGAUUCUGUGUCUCAGACGCGGACAUCCUUUUUUACACCAGAUUCACGUCAAGAGAUGUUUUUUGUGACUUCUGGGAGGUUAUUCAACCAUCUGCCUCCAUGUUGGUUUAUUGGUCGAAAGCUCAGAAAAGAAACAAACAUUUGAACCCAUUUCUCCCAGUCCAACGUGUAGACUGCAACUGGUUGAGUUUUUUCUCUUCUGCUGCCGGGUUGCUGCAGGCCUGCAAGAGAAGGUGCUGGCUGACAUGUUUCAGAGCUGACUGAACGAAGUGGACUGCUGGAUUUACUGGAGCCAGGAGAUGGCUGCAUGGCAGACAAGGGUUUCACCAUCGAGAAGCCACUAGCUGAUCGUGGGGCAACGCUGAUUAUACCACCCUUCAAGAUGACAGGUAGGCAUGAAAGGAAUGAACAUUUCAAAUUAAAACUUUGACCCAAAUGUGACCAUUAAGAUAUGCAGA
This is a long non-coding RNA of Gadus morhua (Atlantic cod), 741 nucleotides long. RefSeq lists it as uncharacterized. Lineage: Eukaryota; Metazoa; Chordata; Actinopteri; Gadiformes; Gadidae. The record is from RefSeq and is a predicted model, not a curated record. The transcript is spliced from 3 exons.